UACGUAGGGUGCAAGCGUUGUCCGGAAUUAUUGGGCGUAAAGAGCUCGUAGGCGGUUUGUCGCGUCUGCUGUGAAAACGCGAGGCUCAACCUCGCGCCUGCAGUGGGUACGGGCAGACUAGAGUGCGGUAGGGGAGAUUGGAAUUCCUGGUGUAGCGGUGGAAUGCGCAGAUAUCAGGAGGAACACCGAUGGCGAAGGCAGAUCGCUGGGCCGUAACUGACGCUGAGGAGCGAAAGCGUGGGGAGCGAACAGG
Molecule: ribosomal RNA, 253 nt
Filed under: uncultured bacterium
Lineage: Bacteria
Description: partial 16S ribosomal RNA
Rfam family: Bacterial small subunit ribosomal RNA
Source: RNAcentral